This is a non-coding RNA of Pan troglodytes (chimpanzee), 148 nucleotides long. It matches the Rfam family "Metazoan signal recognition particle RNA". From Rfam's summary of the family: The signal recognition particle (SRP) is a universally conserved ribonucleoprotein. It is involved in the co-translational targeting of proteins to membranes. The eukaryotic SRP consists of a 300-nucleotide 7S RNA and six proteins: SRPs 72, 68, 54, 19, 14, and 9. NCBI's taxonomy places the organism in Eukaryota, Metazoa, Chordata, Mammalia, Primates, Hominidae. The record is from Rfam.
GCUGGGCAUGGUGGCGCACGCCUGUAGUCCCAGCUACUUGGGAGGCUGAGGCAGGAGAAUCGCUUGAACCUGGGAGGCCGAGGUUGCAGUGAGCCAACAUCGCACCACUGCACUCCAGCCUGGGUGACAGAGCAAGACUCUGUCUCAA